This 116-nucleotide ribosomal RNA is filed under the name uncultured bacterium. Its description in RNAcentral is "partial 16S ribosomal RNA". The record is from RNAcentral.
GUCGACGCGAAGAACCUUAUCCAGGCUUGACAUGUGCGAAAGCGCCAAGUGUACCCUGUGGAAACAUAGGGGAACCUCGCAAGAGGGGACUUGGUACAGGUGUUGCAUGGCUGUCG